Molecule: long non-coding RNA, 1270 nt
Organism: Dendronephthya gigantea
Lineage: Eukaryota; Metazoa; Cnidaria; Anthozoa; Malacalcyonacea; Nephtheidae
Exons: 3
Source: RefSeq, a predicted model, not a curated record
AAUAAAUUUCAUAUAUGAAAUGCCAGCUUCACAUGUGAAAUUUGUUUCACAUAUGAAUAAUUAAAAGCUGAUACAUAUGAAAUUUCACCUUCACAUGUGAAAAGUAAAUUUCAUAAAUAUGAAAUUUCUUUCACACGUGAGAUUGUAAAAAGUUCAUAAAUUAUCAGUUUUCAUUUUCAUAACAUUUUUGCGUAUUUUAACAUAUUACCCAUCUGGGCUUUGAUGUAAAAGGAAUUUGGUUACCUAGGAAAUUACUUUCGAGCGCAAAGCUGUUUAUGAAAUGCCUUGGUCGCUACAGGGACGUUUAUACAAGAAGCGGGCAACACAAGUUGUAUCUCAAAAUUCGUGAUGCAGUUGCAUCUCAAAAUUCUUAAUUGGACUGUCAAACGUCUUUACUGGUCAAAUCCCACUAAAGCCUGUAGUGUUCUUAUAUUUAUUUUUAAAGCGCCUGGGAGCGAGGAUGACCCGAUUGCUACCCGAAGAGUCCUCGAUCGGCUUAGUCGGCAUUGCUCGUAAACGAACCGUGCUUCGGAAGAACGUCUCAUAUUACAUCACGUCUCAAACUUUCUGCUGGCUGUCGUAAAUAUGGUUUGGGAAACUUGUUUUAGCGUAAAAAUUUAAUAUAUAUCCGUGUGGAAUAGUCCAAAUAUAGAUAUCAAUGGGAUAUGUGGUUAAGCUGUGGUUAAGCUGUGUUCAUGUGGUCUAUUAAAGAAUGGUUUUAAAGAAAUUGUCGGUUGAUGCCCGCAUCACCUGCUUGGGUUGAAGUGAACCAAGCCAAAAAUGAAGAAAAAUGGACAAAUAUUCUGUUGGCAGCCAUUGAGUUAGAAACACACUAGGAAUCAUCAGACUUCGGCUGGCAAGGGAAAUGAAGACAAACAAUUUGAUCUGGCUAAAUGAUAAAAGAAUGUGUAAGGCAGAACAGCAAAGAUAGUGAAAAGGAAUGCUAUGUGCAAACAGAUGAAGGAUGAAAUCAUGAAAAAAUGCCAUGGAAAGGAAAAAUAAUAAUUGAACUUGAUAAGUGUUCUUCUUUAAAUGUUAGCCAAAUUGUUUUUUUAAUUGUGUAUUUUAAUUGUGUAUGUAAAUAUGUGUAUGUAUUUAAUAUGAUUAACUUUUGUAUUUAGAUUUUUAUUGUAUAAAACCUCUUAAGUUUUAAUCCAAUAAAUGUUCAAUCCAUACAUUGAAAUUCACUCAUGCAGCCAUUUUAUUAUCUUCUGACUAUUUCAUAUGUGAAACAUUUCAUUUUUGAAAUCAUUUCAUAUAUGAAAUAUUC